This 751-nucleotide ribosomal RNA is filed under the name Streptomyces siamensis. RNAcentral describes it as "bacterial SSU rRNA". It matches the Rfam family "Bacterial small subunit ribosomal RNA", at positions 117 to 880 of the family's 1533-position model. Lineage: Bacteria; Bacillati; Actinomycetota; Actinomycetes; Kitasatosporales; Streptomycetaceae. The record is from RNAcentral.
GUGGGCAAUCUGCCCUUCACUCUGGGACAAGCCCUGGAAACGGGGUCUAAUACCGGAUAACACUCCUGCCUGCAUGGGUGGGGGUUAAAAGCUCCGGCGGUGAAGGAUGAGCCCGCGGCCUAUCAGCUUGUUGGUGAGGUAGUGGCUCACCAAGGCGACGACGGGUAGCCGGCCUGAGAGGGCGACCGGCCACACUGGGACUGAGACACGGCCCAGACUCCUACGGGAGGCAGCAGUGGGGAAUAUUGCACAAUGGGCGAAAGCCUGAUGCAGCGACGCCGCGUGAGGGAUGACGGCCUUCGGGUUGUAAACCUCUUUCAGCAGGGAAGAAGCGAAAGUGACGGUACCUGCAGAAGAAGCGCCGGCUAACUACGUGCCAGCAGCCGCGGUAAUACGUAGGGCGCAAGCGUUGUCCGGAAUUAUUGGGCGUAAAGAGCUCGUAGGCGGCUUGUCACGUCGGUUGUGAAAGCCCGGGGCUUAACCCCGGGUCUGCAGUCGAUACGGGCAGGCUAGAGUGUGGUAGGGGAGAUCGGAAUUCCUGGUGUAGCGGUGAAAUGCGCAGAUAUCAGGAGGAACACCGGUGGCGAAGGCGGAUCUCUGGGCCAUUACUGACGCUGAGGAGCGAAAGCGUGGGGAGCGAACAGGAUUAGAUACCCUGGUAGUCCACGCCGUAAACGGUGGGAACUAGGUGUUGGCGACAUUCCACGUCGUCGGUGCCGCAGCUAACGCAUUAAGUUCCCCGCCUGGGGAG